RNAcentral lists this ribosomal RNA (491 nucleotides) under uncultured bacterium. Its description in RNAcentral is "partial 16S ribosomal RNA". It matches the Rfam family "Bacterial small subunit ribosomal RNA", at positions 29 to 506 of the family's 1533-position model. The record is from RNAcentral.
AGUGAACGCUGGCGGUAGGCCUAACACAUGCAAGUCGAACGGCAGCACAGUAAGAGCUUGCUCUUACGGGUGGCGAGUGGCGGACGGGUGAGGAAUACAUCGGAAUCUACUUUUUCGUGGGGGAUAACGUAGGGAAACUUACGCUAAUACCGCAUACGACCUACGGGUGAAAGCAGGGGAUCUUCGGACCUUGCGCGAUUGAAUGAGCCGAUGUCGGAUUAGCUAGUUGGCGGGGUAAAGGCCCACCAAGGCGACGAUCCGUAGCUGGUCUGAGAGGAUGAUCAGCCACACUGGAACUGAGACACGGUCCAGACUCCUACGGGAGGCAGCAGUGGGGAAUAUUGGACAAUGGGCGCAAGCCUGAUCCUGCCAUACCGCGUGGGUGAAGAAGGCCUUCGGGUUGUAAAGCCCUUUUGUUGGGAAAGAAAAGCAGCAGGUUAAUACCCCGCUGUUCUGACGGUACCCAAAGAAUAAGCACCGGCUAACUUCGU